RNAcentral lists this ribosomal RNA (488 nucleotides) under uncultured bacterium. Its description in RNAcentral is "partial 16S ribosomal RNA". It matches the Rfam family "Bacterial small subunit ribosomal RNA", at positions 30 to 506 of the family's 1533-position model. The record is from RNAcentral.
UUGCACGCUGGCGGCAGGCCUAACACAUGCAAGUCGCACGGUAACAGGAAGAAGCUUGCUUCUUUGCUGACGAGUGGCGGACGGGUGAGUAAUGUCUGGGAAACUGCCUGAUGGAGGGGGAUAACUACUGGAAACGGUAGCUAAUACCGCAUAACGUCGCAAGACCAAAGAGGGGGACCUUCGGGCCUCUUGCCAUCGGAUGUGCCCAGAUGGGAUUAGCUAGUAGGUGGGGUAACGGCUCACCUAGGCGACGAUCCCUAGCUGGUCUGAGAGGAUGACCAGCCACACUGGAACUGAGACACGGUCCAGACUCCUACGGGAGGCAGCAGUGGGGAAUAUUGCACAAUGGGCGCAAGCCUGAUGCAGCCAUGCCGCGUGUAUGAAGAAGGCCUUCGGGUUGUAAAGUACUUUCAGCGGGGAGGAAGGGAGUAAAGUUAAUACCUUUGCUCAUUGACGUUACCCGCAGAAGAAGCACCGGCUAACUCCGU